CCUACGGGAGGCAGCAGUGAGGAAUAUUGGUCAAUGGACGAGAGUCUGAACCAGCCAAGUAGCGUGAAGGAUGACUGCCCUAUGGGUUGUAAACUUCUUUUAUAAAGGAAUAAAACGAGGCACGUGUGCCUUUUUGCAUGUACUUUAUGAAUAAGGAUCGGCGAACUCAGUGCCAGCAGCCGCGGUAAUACGGAGGAUCCGAGCGUUAUCCGGAUUUAGUGGGUUUAAAGGGAGCGUAGAUGGGUUGUUAAGUCAGUUGUGAAAGUUUGCGGCUUAACCGUAAAAUUGCAAUUGGUACUGGCAGUCUUGAGUACAGUUGAGGUAGGCGGAAUUCGUGGUGUAGCGGUGAAAUGCUUAGAUAUCACGAAGAACCCCGAUUGCGAAGGCAGCUUACUAAGCUGUGACUGACAUUGAUGCUCGAAAGUGUGGGUAUCAAACAGGAUUAGAUACCCUAGUAGUC
This 460-nucleotide ribosomal RNA is filed under the name uncultured bacterium. RNAcentral describes it as "partial 16S ribosomal RNA". It matches the Rfam family "Bacterial small subunit ribosomal RNA", at positions 338 to 795 of the family's 1533-position model. The record is from RNAcentral.